This 497-nucleotide ribosomal RNA is filed under the name uncultured bacterium. RNAcentral describes it as "partial 16S ribosomal RNA". It matches the Rfam family "Bacterial small subunit ribosomal RNA", at positions 28 to 507 of the family's 1533-position model. The record is from RNAcentral.
GAUGAACGCUGGCGGCGUGCCUAAUACAUGCAAGUCGAGCGAACAGACGAGGAGCUUGCUCCUCUGACGUUAGCGGCGGACGGGUGAGUAACACGUGGAUAACCUACCUAUAAGACUGGGAUAACUUCGGGAAACCGGAGCUAAUACCGGAUAAUAUAUUGAACCGCAUGGUUCAAUAGUGAAAGACGGUUUUGCUGUCACUUAUAGAUGGAUCCGCGCCGCAUUAGCUAGUUGGUAAGGUAACGGCUUACCAAGGCAACGAUGCGUAGCCGACCUGAGAGGGUGAUCGGCCACACGGGAACUGAGACACGGUCCAGACUCCUACGGGAGGCAGCAGUAGGGAAUCUUCCGCAAUGGGCGAAAGCCUGACGGAGCAACGCCGCGUGAGUGAUGAAGGUCUUCGGAUCGUAAAACUCUGUUAUUAGGGAAGAACAAAUGUGUAAGUAACUAUGCACGUCUUGACGGCACCUAAUCAGAAAGCCACGGCUAACUACGUG